UAGACAGAAAAAAAAUGAGGCAACAGAGAGGUAUUUGGGGAGUUUUAAUGGUGGUUGCCCUCUCUCUGUUCGCCGGUGAUGUUUCCAUUUUCGCGAAGAAAACUUCAAAUAAACCACCAUUUAUCUUUAGGGCGUCGUUUGGUACUGCUCUUGUAUUGAAACUUCCGAUGAAAAAUCGGAAGUUUUUGCAGUAUGUAUGUGUUCACACACAUACAUCUAUGUAUCUAUAUAUAUAUAUAUAUUCACAUACAGGAAGGAAAGGUUUAGGGUUUAAGAUCUGACCCUUUUACUGUUUCUUCUUCUUCUUCUUUUUCCUCAUCAUCAUCAUCAUCUGCGAAUCCUUGAAAAGGGUUUUCGCGAUGGUUGGAGUUGUUGUUGUUAUUAUUAUUAUUAUUAUUAUGGUUGUUGUUGUUGUAAUGCAUGAGAGGCUAUGAUGAUUAAGGUGUCUAGAGUUCAUGGGGUUAAAGGAGCAGGGUCCGUAUCUUGGCGGGGCGACCCGGAAGACAUUUUGGUAGUGCAACCGAGGUCUGCAGCCAUGGCGGAUGCAUUGUCUCCUUUGCUCUGAUUAUACAGAUCUGAGCCUUAAAAUCGGAAGUUACUGCAGUAUGUGUAUACACACAUUCAUUGUUCAUCUCUCUCUCUAUAUAUAUAUACAGGAAGGAAGAAGGGUUCAGGUUUAAGAUCUGACUCUUUUGGUUCUUCGUUUUGUCAUCGUCAUAUUCACCUUCUCCAACCCUACCACUUUGUUACGGAUGAGAGGCUGUGAUGAUUAAGGUGUUUAGAGUUAAUGGGGCAAGAGAGCUGUACCCGUAUCUUGGCCGGGCAACCCGGAAUGCCUAUUCGUAGUGCAACCGAGGUCUGCAGGCAUGGCGGGUGCAUUGUCUCCUUUGUCUUGAUUAUACUUAUCUGAGCCUUAAUGAAGUCCAAUACGAAUAGGCUGUGAUGAUAUAGAGCUUAUUGAGUUAAUCAGGUUUUGGUCAGGUCGAACCGAAUCUUGGUAGGGAAAACUAAACUGUGUUGUAAAUGGUGUAACGAGUAUUGGGAUGAAAUAGGUCAUAAUUGAGUGGAAUGGAUGUUAGGGAUUCAUUUAGCUUAUCCAACUAGAUUGUUGUUUGCAGCUAUGGCGGUGUCCCGAUUUUGUGACAUAUCUGAGCCUAGUUGAGAGAAUAAUUGGUCGAGAAUGUAAAAUAAGUAGAACACUUGAGAAUAUGAAUUAGGCAGAGCAUUGUGAUGGGCAGUAAUAUCUGAAUGCUAAUAGUUGUAUUCUAUCAUGGAUUCCACUUUCCAUCCAUGUUCCUUACUCACCGGUAAAUAGAACCGAGCUGUUCUUGGCGUAGUAAUGUAAAUAUAUGACCUUUGGGAAGAUCAAGUUGUUACUCUCUAGCUAAACUUUACUGAUUCAGGUGUUCUUCAUCAGUAAAAACCUCAGCUCAACUCGCUCUCUUAUCAAAGAAGAACACAGUUUAUACAACAUUUCAACUGUUUGAAAUCAAAGAAAUGGACCUCUUCUUCCCAUUCCAAGAAUGAUUACCUUACUAGAUUUUUGUUACCAAGGGAUAUCGACCAAUCUUCGCCUUCAUUUACUUAAGUUGAAAUAACGGAAGCAAGUAGGGAAAAUAAGUUUUAUAAAUAAUAUUUCAAGUUGAUUGUCUCCUUCCAAUAUUUUUGAUCCCAGCCCCUUGACCACCAUACUACUCUCUUCCUAUCUCAUUCAUUACUAUUGUUAAACAAUUUUGUUUACUUACCGAACAUAAAAAAAUAAAAAAAGAUAUCUAUUUACACACUUUUCAACCAAAUAUUUUCCUCACAUCAGAAUAUCAAACCAUGAACAAAAGAAAGACAAUCAAACACACUCUCAGUUUCAACAUCUAAUGAUUAUUAACGAGCACCAAACAAUUGCUAUAUCUUCUAUGUGCUAACUUUGAAUUCGAAGAGUGAAAAUAUGUAUCGAACUUAUUAAUUAGUAUAAUUUUAAAAGAAAAUGUGAAUAGUAAAAAUGUAACGCAUGUAAAAGAAAGAUACAUGUACUAUAAAAUAGCAAUCCAAAGAUUGUGUUCUGAAACUCUGGAUGGGAAAAAAUGAGGGGAUGGAGAGGCAUUGGGGAGUUUAUAAUGGUGGUUGCCCUCUCUCUGUUCUUCAGCCGAUGAUUUCCCUUUUCUAAGUUUCACCAAAACCACCAUACUUGAAAAUGGUCUUAUCAUCUAUACUAAGAGCUUGUUUGGAUUGGCUAAAUGUUGAGCUCUCUAAUGAAGUUUUCUAGAGUUGGGUCAGGCAUAUUGGAGUUAGCCCGUAUCUUGGCGGGGCGACGACCCGGUAUAAGACAUUUCCAUUGUUUUGCUAACUGAGGUCUGCAGCCAUGGCGGUUGCUUUGUCUCCUUUUUUGCUUGAUUUUGUAUUACAGAUCUGAGCCUAUUAACACUUUUGAAAACUGCUUCUGCUUCUUCACUUGUUGAUGCUGUAACGAUGACAAAUGGAAUUGGGCCGGGUAUUGGAGCUGCACGUACUUGGCGGGGCGACCCGGUAAGGCAUUUCUAUUGUUUUGCAAACUGAGGUCUGCAGCCAUUGCGGUUGCUUAGAACCUCAAAAGAAAAAACCAUUUCAGUUUUGGCAAGUAAUUAUUUGUGAACCCCUUUUUGUUAGAAUAGCUCAGAAUGAGGCAGCAGAGAGAGUAAUGGGAUUUCUAAUCAAGGGUGGUUGCCCUUCUCUCUGCUUUGCUUAUGAUUCUUCCAUUUUCUAAACAAACCAACAGCCCUUAAUAAAGAGAAAGAGAGAAAGAUGGAGUACACACUAGUUUCUGUUGUUUUUUUCUUCCAGUCAGUUAGGUUCUGGACUCUGAUUUUCUUGAGCUGAGUCUAUUGGAAACAACUUCUCUAGUCCCCAAAAAGGACCGGGGUAAGGUAUAUGUACCGUUGCUAGCUUUUAAUUAUAAGAUGAGGAUGUGAUGAUAACAAAUAAAGUUGUAUAGAGUUAGCUUGGGCAUUGGAGCCAUGGCGGUUGUUUUGUUUCCUUUUGACUGGUUUUAUAAUGAAUCUGAACCUCAGGAGAAAGAAUUGGCUGAAAGACCUUGAUUCUUGUGAAUUCCUUUUUGUUAGGUUAGCCUAAAAAAGACAAGAAUGAGGCAGUAAAGAGUAUGGGAUUUCUAUCAAGGGUGGUUGCCCUUCUCUCUAUGCUUUGCCUGUGAUUCUCCAUUGCUCAAAGCAAACCAACAGCCCUUAAAAGAGAAAGAGACAGAGAGAUACACUUGAGUUUCUGGGUUUCUUUGCAUUUUUGCACCCAAACGUAUGCUCAUAAGGCAAUACACACAACUAUGCUACAACAACCGCAUGACUAUUGACUAUGAAAACUAUUAAAGAGGCAGUGAUGAUUUCUGGGCUAACUGAAUUUCGGGCAUGGAGAUUACCCACCCCGUAUCUUGGCGUGGCAACCGAUAUGGCCUGUAAUUGAGACCUCACUCAUGCAAUCGUGUGUUGCAGCCAUGGCGUGGUUGACUUCUCUUUUGCCUUAUCAUAACACAAAUCUGAGCCUCAAUUUGCUUAAGAAAAAAGGGAAAAGGGUCAAAUUUACCCCUUCACCAUGACCAUGCAUAGGGGGCAAUAUCUUUUCCAUGAUAAAUGUGGGAGAUAUUGAACCCACACCCUUUUCAGGAGAAGUUAAAAUACUCACACUACUAAGAUGCUCUCUAUUUCAAGGGCUCCGAGAAUAUAAACUACAGUAAAACCUCUCUAAAAAUUGAUACUCGAUAAAUUAAUAUACUCUCUCAAAUAAUAUUUUUCUCCUGCCCUGGCUUGGGCCAGUGGAAAAAAUGACUGAUUUCGAUAAGAUAAUAUAUUUUUGGAAGUCCCCUAUAUAAAUAUAUGGUCCCAUUAUCUGAAGUAACAAUACAAUACAAUACAAUGGGUAGCAACCAUCCAAACAAGUUGUUAUUGAUUCGUUCGGUUUAGAUACAAGUUAUGCUAGUAUGAUUGACGGCUUUAAAGAGGCAAUGAUGAUUUUAGCAACCUUUCAUUUCUUUAUGAGCUUAUUAAUCGGACAUUUGAGAUUAUCUGGCUCGUAUCUUGGCUGGGCAUAACCCCAGAUUUUCUGGUGAUUUUUGCAGCCAUGGCGUCGUUGGAUCUCUUUUUGCCCGGAAUGUAACACAGAUCCUGAGCCUCAUUUUCUGGAAACUCUUCUUUGUAUAAAUCUGAGGUUGCGGUUAAAACAGAGAGCUGUGGAGAGUUUUUAUGGGUGGUUUUGCCCCUCUCUGUCAUUCUCUGCUGCCAAUGAUCUCUCAAAUAAAAGUGUUUCCAAUUGCAAAACCACCCUUAGUUGAUUGAUUUAUUACUCCCUCUGUUCCACUUUUUGGAGGCUAUGAAGAUUGUUGUUUGUGAAAGAUGAAUCAGACAUUUUCCUCUAGAGCUAAAAGACUGUUUAGGCAUUUGAACAAAAUGACCUAAAGUAAGUGUGUUCUGCAACUCUAGACGGAAAAAAUGAGGUGAUGGAGAGGCAUUGGGGAGUCUUUAAUGGUGGUUGCCCUCUCUCUGUUCUUCCGCUGAUGAUUUCCUUUUCAAAAUUUCACCAAAACCACCAUAGUUGAAAAAGGUCUAAUCACAUAUACGAGCGUGUUUGGAUUGCUGGCUUAUAUUAUGUGCUGUUGAGCUAAAAUAUACUCUCUCUAGUCCAUAUUAAAGUGAACUGAAGCACACUACUACUACUACUACUUCUCCUUCUUCCUAUGAGGCUGUGAUGAUAACAAAUGAAGUUGUAUAGAGUUGAGUUGGGUUGGGUAUUGGAGCUGCACGUAUCUUGGCGGGGCAACCCAGUAAGGUAUUCCAUUUUGCAACUGAGGUCUGCAGCCAUGGCGAUUGAUUUGUCUCCUUUUGCCUGGUUUUAUAACAAAUCUGAACCUUAGGAGAAAGAAUUAGCCGAAAGAUGCUUGAAGUCUUGUGAAUUCCCUUUUGUUAGGUUAGCCUAAAAACGGCAAGAAUGAGGCGGCAGAGAGUAUGGGAUUUCUAUCAAGGGUGGUUGCCCUUCUCUCUAUGCUUUACUUAUGAUUCUCCAUUUCUCAAAACAAACCAACAGCCCUUUAAAAAGAAAGAGACAGAGAGAGUACAAUUGAGUUUCUGGGUAUUUUUGCAUUUUGCACCCUUAAACGUAUGCUCAUAAGGCAAUACGCACAACUAUACUACAACAACAACAAUAAAAUGACUACGAAAACUAUUAAAGAGGCAGUGAUGAUUUCUGGGCUAACCAAAUUCCGGGCAUGGAGAUUACCCAACCCGUAUCUUGGCGUGACAACCCGGUUUGGCCUGUAAUUGAGACGCAUAACUCACACAUGCAAUUGUGUGUUGCACCCAUGGCAUGGUUGGCUUCUCUUUUGCCUUGUCAUUUCACAAAUCUGAGCCUCGAUUUGCUAAAGAAAAAAGGGAAAAGGGUCAAAUUUACCCUUUUACUAUGCAUAAGGGGAAAUAUCUUUUCCAUGAUUAAUGUGGGAUAUAUUGAACCCACGCCCUUCUGAUUUGCAGUUUUAAUGCUUUUAAUUCAUAAUGUAUCUCCAUCUUUUGAUAAGUAACUGCUCAAGAAUGAGGCAUUUGAAUGAAAUGUUGGAUUUUUGAGGGGUGGUUGCCUCCCUUCUCCGGUAAUCCCCUGAUUUUUUUUUCAAGUCUUGCAUUUAUGUUAGUUAACCAUGUUCAUAUUUUUCUGGUGGUUGUUGCAGCCAUGUUGUCAUCGGAUCUCUGUUUGCUUGAGCUUAAUUUCUGGGAAAUUAGAAAAAACUGCAUAAAUGGGAUACUUUGAAGCUGAUGUUUAAAUUGUCAAUGGUGAGAGAAGAUGAUUUUAUCAAUCUUUCAUUCCCUUCUGAGCUUAUUAAUUGGGCAUUUGAGAUUAUCCGACCCGUAUCUUGGCAGGGCAUGCCGCUAGUUUUUCUGGUGGUUUUUGCAGCCAUGGCGAUGUCGAAUCUCUUUUUGCAUCUGUCAAGUUGAAAGUGAUCACUGUCCAACUGACAAUUCAUGGCAAGUUUGAGGGGCUAUCUAUGUAUUGGCCUAUCUAAAGUAACAUUACAAUACAAUACAAUGGUUAACAACCAUCCAAACAAGCUCUUAUUCAUUUGGUUUAGACACAAGUUAUGCCAAUAUGAUUGACGGCAUUAAAGAGGCAAUGAUGAUUUUAGCAACUUAUCAUUCCCUUGUGAGCUUAAUAAUCGAACACUUGUGAUUAUCCAGUUUAUAUCUUGGCAGGGUAUAACCCCAGAUUUUCUGGUGGUUUUUGCAGCCAUGGCGUCAUUGGAUCUCUUUUUCCCAGGGAUAUACCACAGAUCUGAGCCUCAUUUUCUAGGAACUCUUCUUAGUACAAGUCUGAGGUUGUGGUGAAAACAGAGAGCUGUGGAGAGUUCCUAUGGGUUGUUUUACCCCUCUCUGUCAUUCUCUGCUGCCAAUGAUCUCUCAAAUGGAAGUUUUUUAAUUGCAAAUUCAUCCUUAGUUGAUUGAUUUAUUUAUUACUCCCUCUGUUCCACUUUUUAGAGACUGUGAAGAUUGUUGUUUGUGAAAAUCAUCAUACAUUUUCCUCUUGAGCUGAAAAGACUGUUGAAGCUGAGAAAUUCUCUUUUAAAUGCAGAAUUUUGAGGUUUUUUCGUUUUAAGCUCUCUUAUAAGCGAAUUCCAUUUAUUAGGUUAGCCCAGAAAUAGAGGAAUGAGGAUGCAGAGAGUAUGGGAUUUUUUUCAAGGGCGGUUGCCCCUGUCUGCUUUGCCUAUGAUUCUCCCCUUCUCAACAAACCAACAGCCUUUAAGAGAAAGAAAGAGCAACAUAGUACUUCAGUUUCUGGUUUUCUGGAUGAUCAUUCAUGAAAUUUCCCCAGUUUUCAAGUAUACCACAACAAUUACGCCACCUUCAGUUCUUCAGUCUGUCUUCUCUUGGCUCUUUGCAUAUUUGUUCCCAUUUUCUCUUAUUGUUAGUGGAAACUGGAAAGUGUUCCCUUAUGAUGCAUUCUGCUACAGAAAGGGGCUAUGAUGAUGCUUAUGUAUCUUGUAGUUCUGUGCUGAUCAUGGAACAUUGAGAUGAACCGACCCGUAUCUUGGCGUGGCAACCCGGUGUGGCCUGUUGAGAACUUCUCUCCCUCUCAUGCAAUCGGUGUUUUGCAGCCAUGGUGAGACUGGCUUCUCUUUUGCCAUAUCAUUACAUGCAUCUGAGCCUCAAUUUGUUGAAGAACAUAAGUAGGCGUUUGGACAUUGUUGCAGUUGAAGUUGUGAAUUCUCUUAAAUGCAGACUUGUGAGGUCUCUUCAGUUAAAAGCUCUCAUCUAAACGAAGUCUCUUAUUUUAGCAGAAAUGACGAGUAUGAGGCAGCAGAGAGUAUGGGAUUUCUUUCAAGGGUGGUUGCCCCUCUCUGCUUUGCCUAUGAUUCUCCCCUUCUCAAUAAACCAACAGCCCUUAAAAAAAAGAAAAAGAGAAAAUAUAUCAACUUCAGUUUCUUGGUUUCUUUGGGUCCUGUUGUUGUGAUACAUACUCAAAAGCCAAACACUUCAGUUUCCUUGUUUCUUCAGUCUGUCUCCUUUAUGACUUUGGACUCUAAAAAAGGCAGUGAUGAUAACUUUUUCUAAAUCUGGGCUAACCAGUUCAGGCAUGGAGACGAUCUGAUCCGUAUCUUGGCGUGGCAAUCCAGUAUGGCUGUGAUUGCUAAAAGUGUCUACCUGGCAUUAUGCUACCUGUGAUAAGAGUUUCUUCUCUCACACACACAACCAAUGUUUUGCAGCCAUGGCAUCGUUGACUUCUCUUUUGCCUUAUAUCUGAGCCUCAAUUUGCUAAGGAAAGUAUAUUUUUUUUAUGCUUGUAUAUGGAAUAUAUCGAACCCACACCUUUUUGCAUACAAGUGAAGUUAUAUUGUUGUUCCCUCGUAAUGUGUUGCCAAAUCUUUUAUCCGUAAUAGGUCAAGAAUGAGGCAUUUGAGUGAAAUGUGGGAUUUUCGUGAUGGUGGUUCCCUUCCUUCUCUGCAAAUGAAUGUUUUUGGGCGUGAUGAUGAUGGGGAUAAACAAUUUCAGCGUUGAGGCUACUAACCCAUAUCUGGGCUUGGCAAAUCAGUGGAAUAUUGACUGGUGAUUUGAGUCCUCUUUCGCAUGCACGGUGCACGACUGGUGUUUUGCAGCCAUGGCACGGUUACCUUCUCUUUGCCUGAUCGUUUCUGCAGAUCUGAGACUCACCUUUUUUCGGCACCUGCAAAUUUGUAUCCAAAGAUCAAUAAAAAGCAGGCAGUUCUAGAGCAAGUGAAUUUGAAAGCAGUCUCUUUUGCACACAUAUUGCAUCAAUAAUUUUGCUAUAUCUUCAGUAUUCAAAUAAAAUAAUGAGGAUAUUCCUUUAGAUAUGUUGUUCUUAGUUUCUAGUUUUCCUCAUCCAUUGCAGUAAUUAGCUUGGAAGUUGGAAGAAUCAUGGCUGAAUGGUACUGUCUAUAACUUUGUUUUUUUUGUCUUAUGGCUUUGAUGGCCUUUUGUGCAUAUCUUCUACUAAUUUUUUUGCUCUUUGUUGGUGCCUUGGCUGGGAGAUUGUUCCUUGGAAGCAGUUGUCUCUCCCACCAAAAUAUCGUGAAGGAUUCAAUGUCUUGAAACUUGGUAACACAAGACAACUCACUGAUUUGUUGUUAGCUCUACCGGAGGAGUCUGAAAUCAACACCUAACUGCUUGGGCAUUGAGUCUGAAAUCAACACGUUACAUUUUUUUAAAAUUGUAAGGUGCAUGUCAGGUUGCACCUUACUAUAUACAAUUUAACGACAUCCACCUUCCUUACCCUUUUGAUUUAAUUAUUUUUUGUUGUACUUUUGAAAAGUUUGCUCAAUUUUUUUUUUACCCUUUUGAAAGUGUUACAUUAAUUAAUAAAAUUAUUUAUGACUUUGAAGGGGCUUGUGUAAGGAGAAAAUGAGCAAUGAGGGAUAGAGGGAGUACCAUUUACCUCAAAGGAAUCACAAGAAUACUAAUGAUGGACAAGUUCCCAUGUCCCACAUGUGUCAGUCAUUUACUUGAAAUUUGAUCCAAAUGCAGAUACAAACAAGACACUUUAUUUCAAAAAUUGCCACUUAACCCCUCUAGAUUCUUCCAUGGAACAGUUUUUGGGUAUAUAAACCACAAAAACUCGCAAGUGAAAAAAGUAGCAAAGAAGAGGUUAGCCCAGGUAAAAUGAGGCUAAACAGAGAGUUUUGGUAAUUUCUUUACAAGGGUGGUUGCCCCUCUCUUGUUUAACCAAUGAUUUUUCCACACAAAAAAAGCAACAACCCUUGGAUUCAUGUUAAUUUCCUGGAAAUUAUUGAAUCAUUUGUACCAGGAAAACAUACAUACAUACGUACGUACGUACUACUAUAUUCCAACAUAUAUAUAGCAAUUAUUCUGGCUGGCUUUCUGUUUCUGUACUCUCUCAAUGUUGGUUUAUUUUCUCAGUUUUGAUCCAUUGAGGCAGUGAUGAUAAUGCUGAUGAAUCUGGGCUAACCGGAUCGGGCAUAGAGAUUAUAUGAUCCGUAUCUUGGCUUGGCAAAUCACGGUGAUUUCGCAGCCAUGGCGUGGUCGCCUCUCUCUUUUCCUCGAUCUCUUUGCAGAUCUGAGCCUCUAAAAACUUAAAUUUCCUGGAAA
This is a long non-coding RNA of Solanum tuberosum (potato), 9578 nucleotides long. RefSeq lists it as uncharacterized. The transcript is spliced from 2 exons. Lineage: Eukaryota; Viridiplantae; Streptophyta; Magnoliopsida; Solanales; Solanaceae. The record is from RefSeq and is a predicted model, not a curated record.